GACGAACGCUGGCGGCGUGCUUAACACAUGCAAGUCGAACGGAAAGGCCCUGCUUUUGUGGGGUGCUCGAGUGGCGAACGGGUGAGUAACACGUGAGUAACCUGCCCUUGACUUUGGGAUAACUUCAGGAAACUGGGGCUAAUACCGGAUAGGAGCUCCUGCUGCAUGGUGGGGGUUGGAAAGUUUCGGCGGUUGGGGAUGGACUCGCGGCUUAUCAGCUUGUUGGUGGGGUAGUGGCUUACCAAGGCUUUGACGGGUAGCCGGCCUGAGAGGGUGACCGGCCACAUUGGGACUGAGAUACGGCCCAGACUCCUACGGGAGGCAGCAGUGGGGAAUAUUGCACAAUGGGCGGAAGCCUGAUGCAGCAACGCCGCGUGCGGGAUGACGGCCUUCGGGUUGUAAACCGCUUUCGCCUGUGACGAAGCGUGAGUGACGGUAAUGGGUAAAGAAGCACCGGCUAACUACGUGCCAGCAGCCGCGGUGAUACGUAGGGUGCGAGCGUUGUCCGGAUUUAUUGGGCGUAAAGGGCUCGUAGGUGGUUGAUCGCGUCGGAAGUGUAAUCUUGGGGCUUAACCCUGAGCGUGCUUUCGAUACGGGUUGACUUGAGGAAGGUAGGGGAGAAUGGAAUUCCUGGUGGAGCGGUGGAAUGCGCAGAUAUCAGGAGGAACACCAGUGGCGAAGGCGGUUCUCUGGGCCUUUCCUGACGCUGAGGAGCGAAAGCGUGGGGAGCGAACUGGCUUAGAUACCCUGGUAGUCCACGCUGUAAACGGUGGGUACUAGGUGUGGGGUCCAUUCCACGGGUUCCGUGCCGUAGCUAACGCUUUAAGUACCCCGCCUGGGGAGUACGGCCGCAGGGCUAAAACUCAAAGGAAUUGACGGGGCCCCGCACAAGCGGCGGAGCAUGCGGAUUAAUUCGAUGCAACGCGUAGAACCUUACCUGGGUUUGACAUGGAUCGGGAGUGCUCAGAGAUGGGUGUGCCUCUUUUGGGGUCGGUUCACAGGUGGUGCAUGGCUGUCGUCAGCUCGUGUCGUGAGAUGUUGGGUUAAGUCCCGCAACGAGCGCAACCCUUGUUCACUGUUGCCAGCACGUUAUGGUGGGGACUCAGUGGAGACCGCCGGGGUCAACUCGGAGGAAGGUGGGGAUGACGUCAAGUCAUCAUGCCCCUUAUGUCCAGGGCUUCACGCAUGCUACAAUGGCUGGUACAGAGAGUGGCGAGCCUGUGAGGGUGAGCGAAUCUCGGAAAGCCGGUCUCAGUUCGGAUUGGGGUCUGCAACUCGACCUCAUGAAGUCGGAGUCGCUAGUAAUCGCAGAUCAGCAACGCUGCGGUGAAUACGUUCCCGGGGCU
This 1346-nucleotide ribosomal RNA is filed under the name uncultured bacterium. Its description in RNAcentral is "partial 16S ribosomal RNA". It matches the Rfam family "Bacterial small subunit ribosomal RNA", at positions 28 to 1381 of the family's 1533-position model. The record is from RNAcentral.